CCAAUUUAUUUUGAUUUAAUUUAGUCUCCCCAUUAAAUACGUCCAAUGCCUCUUCAUUUCACCUUCCCACCACCACUGGUACUCUCUCGAGUAACUCCUUCCCACCGAGCUAAGCUAGCUACGACUAUAAAUACCGCACUCCAACGAAAACAAAAUUCCUCAUCGAAGUUGCUUAGAACCUGAACCGAAAUCCUCCUCCUCAUCAUCUAGUAGCAGUACUACUUGAUCAGUACUGUAUACAUGGCAUCAUCAUCUCCGACAUCCAGUUCUGCGUUAAUGAUAGCUGAUGGGGCUUCUUGGUUCUGUGCAGCGGUGAUAGUGGCCUCAUACUCGUGAGCGCGGUCAAGGAGGAUUCUGUCCCCUACGAGCCGGUCAGAGGAAACCUGCAGCUCCUUAACAGGGCCUGUGACGAAAUAUAUGUCGUAGGAGAAGGGGAAACCUUGCACACCAUCAGCGACAAGUGUGGUGACCUUUCAUCGUGGAGCAGAACCCGCAUAUCCAUGCCCGACGAUGUUUUUCCUGGCCUUGUUAUAAAGAUUACUCCCAGGCCUAAUCAGCCAUAGAAGACGUACCUAGCUUGUUUGUGGUUACACAGUCGGUCAGAUAGUUUUCUUUUCUUUUCUUUUUUCCCCCUUUCGGAGUAUCAUAUACUACUUACUCUUACUAGUCCUCCUAAAUUACAGAUACCUCUUCUUUCUUCUUUCUUUUUCUUUUUGCUCCUUUUUGGAGAAGGUGGUGGGCAUGCAUGCUUUUACCUGUAGUUGGUAUGUAAAAGGAGAAGACGAAACGUUUCUCCACGUAUUGUACAGCAGAAACAGAAUUGUAGGUGAUGAUUCCCCAUACGGCUUUUACUGGUGCAGAAAUGUUUGGUCCUAAUUACUCCCCUUUUCCUUCAUCACCAUUUUAAGUACUACUAGUAUUUAACCAUCGUCUUCGAGAUAUGUUAAGACUUAAUUGAUACAAGCAGUAUAUUUACGGAGUGAAUCAAUCGGUAUAUCUUCUCUUCCGAAGCUUUUCACCAGCUUUGAAAUGCUCUCGAUAGGUUAAUUUUUCUUAACCAAUUGUGACCUCUGUGUACUUUGAUCAAGGGAACCUAUUACUUUCUGAAGGACUAGAGCCUUGAUAUCACGCGAGGAUUUUCGGUACAGUUUUGGUAAAGCACGGCCUCACCCUCUCAAUAAGCUACUAGUAGGAAACAAAAGUAGCCUUCGCCCGGUUCCCGGUCCAUGCGUCUGAGGCGGAAGCUGUACAUGGGAACAAUUAAAAACAGCAGCAGCUAUAGGUUCCUCAAACCGGAUCGGGGGCCUCUGACUUCUGUGUCCAGCUCCAUCUACUUACGUAAAUUUUACCUAAUUUUAACGUAUAGUGGUACAACUUCAGUAUAGUCAUGAGCUAGGCAUCAAUUUGAUACAAAAUUUACAUUUUCAUUUAGUAAAUGGAACUGGGGAAACCCCAUUGCCCCCUCAAACCUGCCACACGUACCCCUGGAGGUUAACUGUACACAGCACAAAGUGGUGUCACAUAUGCCACGAUUUUGAUAA
Molecule: long non-coding RNA, 1541 nt
Organism: Coffea arabica (coffee)
Lineage: Eukaryota; Viridiplantae; Streptophyta; Magnoliopsida; Gentianales; Rubiaceae
Source: RefSeq, a predicted model, not a curated record